CACUCCCUAGAGUGUUUGCUAGUUGAUUAUGUCCCUGAGCCGAUUCUCUCAACUCGGGGCUUGCGAACAUAAGCUGGUGUGCAUGCCUGCUCUGCAGGAAGCCUAAAAGCUUAACGCGAACUCCACCUUGAACUCUCGGGUUCAAGGGCCACAUCAACAGCGGCAUUUCUGGGGAGUCU
This 179-nucleotide non-coding RNA is filed under the name Gammaproteobacteria bacterium. RNAcentral's name for it is "6S RNA". It matches the Rfam family "6S / SsrS RNA". From Rfam's summary of the family: E. coli 6S RNA was the first non coding RNA to be sequenced, but its function was unknown until recently. It consists of 184 nucleotides that fold into an extended hairpin structure with a large single-stranded internal bulge. The 6S RNA specifically associates with RNA polymerase holoenzyme containing the sigma70 specificity factor. Lineage: Bacteria; Pseudomonadati; Pseudomonadota; Gammaproteobacteria. The record is from RNAcentral.